This 515-nucleotide ribosomal RNA is filed under the name uncultured bacterium. RNAcentral's name for it is "partial 16S ribosomal RNA". It matches the Rfam family "Bacterial small subunit ribosomal RNA", at positions 28 to 523 of the family's 1533-position model. The record is from RNAcentral.
GAUGAACGCUGGCGGCGUGCCUAAUACAUGCAAGUCGAGCGAAUGGAUUAAGAGCUUGCUCUUAUGAAGUUAGCGGCGGACGGGUGAGUAACACGUGGGUAACCUGCCCAUAAGACAGGGAUAACUCCGGGAAACCGGGGCUAAUACCGGAUAACAUUUUGAACCGCAUGGUUCGAAAUUGAAAGGCGGCUUCGGCUGUCACUUAUGGAUGGACCCGCGUCGCAUUAGCUAGUUGGUGAGGUAACGGCUCACCAAGGCAACGAUGCGUAGCCGGCCUGAGAGGGUGAUCGGCCACACUGGGACUGAGACACGGCCCAGACUCCUACGCGAGGCAGCAGUAGGGAAUCUUCCGCAAUGGACGAAAGUCUGACGGAGCAACGCCGCGUGAGUGAUGAAGGCUUUCGGGUCGUAAAACUCUGUUGUUAGGGAAGAACAAGUGCUAGUUGAAUAAGCUGGCACCUUGACGGUACCUAACCAGAAAGCCACGGCUAACUACGUGCCAGCCGCCGCAGUAA